This 306-nucleotide ribosomal RNA is filed under the name Draconarius sp. CL016. RNAcentral's name for it is "partial 12S ribosomal RNA". Lineage: Eukaryota; Metazoa; Arthropoda; Arachnida; Araneae; Agelenidae. The record is from RNAcentral.
AAACUANUUUAAUUUGGCGGCAUUUCAUUCAAUUAGAGGAAUUUGUCCUUUAAUCGAUAAACCACGAUAAAUUUAACUUUAAUUUCAAUUUAUAUACCGCCAUCUUAAGAAUCAAUUCAAAAAUGUUUUUCCAAAAAAAAAAUAAAAAAUUAGGUCAAGGUAUAGUUUAUAUUAAAGAAUGAGAUGAAUUACAUUUAGUACAAUUAAAAGAUUAUAAAUACAAAUAUAUAUACAAAUAAGAAUUUAAAAGUAAUAUUAAAAUAAUAUUAUAAUAUGAUAAAUACAAUAAAUGUGUACACAUCGCCC